CUCGUUUCGUGGCGUGCAGUGCGAGUCUAUCGUGUCUCAAAGCGAGUAUUACCUGCUUUGGCACAUGUUAGGCCGGCAGUACAGCCCGAGUAUUGGAAGUC
This 101-nucleotide microRNA precursor is filed under the name Haemonchus contortus (barber pole worm). RNAcentral describes it as "microRNA hco-mir-5983 precursor". The record is from miRBase by way of RNAcentral. Lineage: Eukaryota; Metazoa; Nematoda; Chromadorea; Rhabditida; Trichostrongylidae.